This 665-nucleotide ribosomal RNA is filed under the name Sclerotinia sp. W14. Its description in RNAcentral is "SSU rRNA". It matches the Rfam family "Eukaryotic small subunit ribosomal RNA", at positions 63 to 732 of the family's 1831-position model. Lineage: Eukaryota; Fungi; Ascomycota; Leotiomycetes; Helotiales; Sclerotiniaceae. The record is from RNAcentral.
GUAUAAGCAACUAUACUGUGAAACUGCGAAUGGCUCAUUAAAUCAGUUAUCGUUUAUUUGAUAGUACCUUACUACAUGGAUAACCGUGGUAAUUCUAGAGCUAAUACAUGCUAAAAACCUCGACUUCGGAAGGGGUGUAUUUAUUAGAUAAAAAACCAAUGCCCUUCGGGGCUCCCUGGUGAUUCAUAAUAACUUAACGAAUCGCAUGGCCUUGUGCCGGCGAUGGUUCAUUCAAAUUUCUGCCCUAUCAACUUUCGAUGGUAGGAUAGUGGCCUACCAUGGUUUCAACGGGUAACGGGGAAUUAGGGUUCUAUUCCGGAGAAGGAGCCUGAGAAACGGCUACUACAUCCAAGGAAGGCAGCAGGCGCGCAAAUUACCCAAUCCCGACACGGGGAGGUAGUGACAAUAAAUACUGAUACAGGGCUCUUUUGAGUCUUGUAAUUGGAAUGAGUACAAUUUAAAUACCUUAACGAGGAACAAUUGGAGGGCAAGUCUGGUGCCAGCAGCCGCGGUAAUUCCAGCUCCAAUAGCGUAUAUUAAAGUUGUUGCAGUUAAAAAGCUCGUAGUUGAACCUUGGGCCUGGUUGGCCGGUCCGCCUCACCGCGUGCACUGGUCCGACCGGGUCUUUCCUUCUGGGGAGCCGCAUGCCCUUCACUGGGUGUGUC